AAAGCAUUCAGCGCCUCUUUACCAGGAUUGCCUUUCGUCGUUUGUUCGGUGCUGCCUCACUACCUCCCUAUGAAACGCGAUUGCAGUUAUUCAAUCUUCACUCCUUAAGCUUCCGCCGCCAAGUGUUUCAGGCUUGUUUUAUUGGUGGCUUAUUACUUUCUGCUACUGAUGCUCCUGAUUUACUCUCGUCCAUCUCGCUGUAUGUUCCCUCUCGUUCUCUUCGUCCACGUGAUCCUCUGUCAAUUGAAACACGUCAUACUCUUUAUACUUUCAAUGACCCUCUUCUGUCCUGUUUCAGGUUGUUUAACCACUUUUACUAUCUCUUUGAUUUCGACUCCUCUCUUAACUCUUUCCGUAACCGUAUUUUUUCUUCUAAUUCCCUUUAAUUAUUCUCCUUAGUUUUCUAUUACUCUCUUUUUUUUGUUUUUGUUAAGUUUAUGAUAGUCUCUACGCUCUACUCUUGUUUUUUUUCUUUUCUUUUUUGCUAGGUCAAGACUAGGUUAGUUAGGCUUAGUUUUUCAUGAAUUAUUUUGUUUAUUUGUUAGUAUUAAAUUAGUUUUAAGUCUAUUAUAUUUAGCCUUGAUGGCGGAUAUUGUAUGAAAUAAAUGAAAUGAAAUGAAAUGAUUGCACGAGCUUCGCUGGGGCAUUCACGUGAAGGACUGGUCGGCAAAUUCGUUCAGAUUUAAUAAUCACUGGUCUAUUUGCCUGUUUCGCAGUGCAAGGAGCUGAUGACGGUGAUGCCGAAAGGACGCGGGGCGAGGAUGCGAUGGCUGACGAUUGAACCAGGUUCACAGGGGCAUUCACGGUGAGGAGUGGUCGGCCCAUUUGUCCCGAUUUUAUAACCACUGGCUUGUUGUUUUGAUUCACAGUGCCAGGAGCCGAUAAUGGAGAUGCCGAAAGGACGUAGGAUGAUUUUUUUUGACCAUUGCACGAGCUUCACAGGGGCAUUCACGGAAGGAAUAAUGGUGAUGUAGAUAUGGAUGUCUUUAAUGGUACGAGGGUCGCUGGUACUACCGAUGCCUGCGCUUUUACGCUGAGAUCUGGAAAUGAUGCCAUCGGUGCCGUUAUCGUUUUAUACACGUUGUUUGAAGCCAUUUCGCUAAACGUAUCCUAAAUGAACAUUUUGUUUAUUUAGUGAACCAUUUGAUUUCAAUUUAUCCUAAUUAAUAGGUACCUUUUUAUGUUUUGCAGAAAAUCCGACAGAAAUAAUAAAACAAAUUUUAGAUUUCAGCUUAUGAAGCAUCACCGAACAA
Long non-coding RNA from Anopheles gambiae (African malaria mosquito), 1253 nucleotides. RefSeq lists it as uncharacterized. Lineage: Eukaryota; Metazoa; Arthropoda; Insecta; Diptera; Culicidae. The record is from RefSeq and is a predicted model, not a curated record. The transcript is spliced from 2 exons.